This 310-nucleotide long non-coding RNA is filed under the name Callithrix jacchus (white-tufted-ear marmoset). Its description in RNAcentral is "lncRNA (ENSCJAG00000077750.1)". Lineage: Eukaryota; Metazoa; Chordata; Mammalia; Primates; Cebidae. The record is from RNAcentral.
AGAGAUGAGAUUUCUAAAAGAUCUGAAGAGAGUCAAAAAAUUUUUUUUAUUUUUUCCUUUUCUUUAGAGGCAGGAGCUCACCAAGUUUUCUAGGCUAGUGUCAAACUCCUGGCCUUGUUACCAGCAGCAAAUCCUACAGGUCUGCAGCAACCUCAAUUCUCACCUCCUCAGAAGAAAUAAUUCGACUGAGAUGCAGAAGUCAGGAGACACUGAGGUGAGUGGAGAAAAGAAUAAAGAAACCCAUAUUUCUUGAACUUCUCUGGCAACUAGCAGUGGUACCAAAUACAGUCUUUAGAAUUUCCAGAGUCUC